UGCCCAGCAGCUCCUAUCCCUACCUCCUCGUGGUACUGGCCGGGGUACGAGUAACCUAAGGGAAGAUCGGGUAACCAACCCCCGGUGGGAACUUUGGUCGUAUGCUGACAGGGAAGG
This 117-nucleotide ribozyme is filed under the name Aedes aegypti (yellow fever mosquito). Its description in RNAcentral is "drz-agam-1 ribozyme". It matches the Rfam family "drz-agam-1 ribozyme". Lineage: Eukaryota; Metazoa; Arthropoda; Insecta; Diptera; Culicidae. The record is from Rfam by way of RNAcentral.